CGGCAUGGCUAAGACAUGCAAGUCGAACGGACCAUAUAAUUGGGUAACCGAAAGUAUGGUUAGUGGCGAAAGGGUGAGGAAUAGAUAGGAACGUACCCUGUGCUCUGGGAUAGCGUCUGAAGCUUCGGCUUCUUCCGAAAGGGGCGGUAAUACCAGAUAAUGUCCUUCGGGACCAAAGAUUUAUCGGCAUUGGAGCGGCCUAUCUCCUAUCAGCUUGUUGGUGAGGUAACGGCUCACCAAGGCAACGACGGGUAGCGGGACUGAGAGGUUGGCCCGCCACAUCGGGACUGAGACACUGCCCGGACCUCCACGGAGGGCUGCAGUAACGGAUAUUGGGCAAUGGGCGAAAGCCUGACCCAGCAAUGCCGCGUGCAGGAUGAAGCCCCUAGGGGUGUAAACUGCUGUCAGGGGUCAGAAAGCUGGUUUCGGCCAGUUGAUCAACCCCAGAGGAAGUCACGGCUAACUUCGUGCCAGCAGCCGCGGUAAUACGAAGGUGGCAAGCGUUAUUCGGAAUCAUUGGGCUUAAAGGGCACGCAGGCGGAACAGUGUGUAGUAGUGUGAAAUCCCCCGGCUUAACCGGGGAAUUGCACAGCAAACUGCUGUUCUUGAGGCAGGUAGGGGUGCAUGGAACUCUUGGUGGAGCGGUGGAAUGCGUAGAUAUCAAGAGGAACGCCAGAGGUGAAGACGGUG
Molecule: ribosomal RNA, 690 nt
Filed under: uncultured organism
Description: bacterial SSU rRNA
Rfam family: Bacterial small subunit ribosomal RNA
Source: RNAcentral